GUCCAGGUCCGCGUGCGGUUUCCGGUUUCUUAUCCCACCCACCCCUGGCGCGGAGGACAGUGGGAAUCGUAGUCUACUUUGUUUAGGGAAGGAGAUUGGCGUAGCCGAGGCCACUUCCGCCGGAAAUGCUCAAAUCCCCGGAAGGCGAGCCAAAUGAGCACUAAGUGAUGCUGGGGGUUGUAGUUUAUUGUUUACAUCGGGGUAAAUUGAGAAGUCUUGGGACACGAGAGGCCAGGCUCUGUGAGGACCUCGAAGAUGCGGGGUUCUAGCUCUAAAGACAAAAACUUCAUGGGGGCAGCAGGAGCUUCAGGGAACUAUGAACAGUGACCUUCUGACACCAAAGGUUGAACUGAAUUAAGCAACUGAGAAGAGGAGUCAAGAGGAGUCUGGAAGAGGGGCCAAGUAGCCAGCCUUCCCCACCCGUCUCUGUUUAGCUCAACAUUAGCCAUCUUUCAAGGCCAGGCGCCAAGCUCUCCUCUUCCAUGAAGACUUUCCUGAUCACACAGCCCAGAGCAAUAAUAAAACUACAGUUCUCAAUGCUGGAAGGCGCCUCAAGAAACCACCCUGUUUGUCUUACCUGUCUUCAGGUAGAUGAUGCAUCACUGUCCCCAUUUUAUCGAUGAGGCAACUGAGUCCAGGAUCAGUUAGGUGCACGGAACAGAAGCAUCAGUUGGGGAAGUCAAGAAGAAAGACCAAGAAGUUGGUGCAGCAUGCAAGAGAAGCCCCAGGAGAUGAUCCAGGGGUGCUGGGGGUGCAUUUCUUGGUUUUCUAAAUAAUCCCUUUCACCUGACUUAAUGCUGAAUGAAUGAAUGAGUGAAUAGAGAGAGAAAGGUGGAGGAACAGAAGGAUAGAGCUUCAGGGAGAGAAAGAAGAAAAGGAGAACAAAAAAGGAAGAGAAAAGGUGGGGUGUGGGGCAGAUGGGAGCAGAGUCAGAGGAAAGAAUCAGAGAAGGGCAUCAAGGACAGAGGGAGGGAGGAAGCAGAGAGGGAGGGGAAGGAGGGAGCCCAAACUUUCCUUCCUCGCACGCCCAGC
This 1032-nucleotide long non-coding RNA is filed under the name Equus asinus (donkey). RNAcentral's name for it is "lncRNA (ENSEASG00005025224.1)". Lineage: Eukaryota; Metazoa; Chordata; Mammalia; Perissodactyla; Equidae. The record is from RNAcentral.